Molecule: ribosomal RNA, 497 nt
Filed under: uncultured bacterium
Lineage: Bacteria
Description: partial 16S ribosomal RNA
Rfam family: Bacterial small subunit ribosomal RNA
Source: RNAcentral
GAUGAACGCUGGCGGCGUGCCUAAUACAUGCAAGUAGAACGCUGAAGCUUGGUGCUUGCACCGAGCGGAUGAGUUGCGAACGGGUGAGUAACGCGUAGGUAACCUGCCUCUUAGCGGGGGAUAACUAUUGGAAACGAUAGCUAAUACCGCAUAAAAGUCGACAUCGCAUGAUGUUGACUUGAAAGGUGCAAUUGCAUCACUAAGAGAUGGACCUGCGUUGUAUUAGCUAGUUGGUGAGGUAACGGCUCACCAAGGCGACGAUACAUAGCCGACCUGAGAGGGUGGUCGGCCACACUGGGACUGAGACACGGCCCAGACUCCUACGGGAGGCAGCAGUAGGGAAUCUUCGGCAAUGGGGGCAACCCUGACCGAGCAACGCCGCGGGAGUGAAGAAGGUUUUCGGAUCGUAAAGCUCUGUUGUAAGAGAAGAACGAGUGUGAGAGUGGAAAGUUCACACUGUGACGGUAACUUACCAGAAAGGGACGGCUAACUACGUG